UACGUAGGGUCCGAGCGUUGUCCGGAAUUACUGGGCGUAAAGCGCGUGUAGGCGGCCCUGCAAGUCGGAUGUGAAAUCCCACGGCUCAACCGUGGAAGUGCAUUCGAAACUGCAGGGCUAGAGUCCUGGAGAGGAAGGUGGAAUGCUUGGUGUAGAGGUGAAAUUCGUAGAUAUCAAGCGGAACACCGGUGGCGAAGGCGGCCUUCUGGACAGUGACUGACGCUGAGACGCGAAAGCGUGGGGAGCAAACAGG
Molecule: ribosomal RNA, 253 nt
Filed under: uncultured bacterium
Lineage: Bacteria
Description: partial 16S ribosomal RNA
Rfam family: Bacterial small subunit ribosomal RNA
Source: RNAcentral